This 448-nucleotide ribosomal RNA is filed under the name uncultured bacterium. RNAcentral describes it as "bacterial SSU rRNA". It matches the Rfam family "Bacterial small subunit ribosomal RNA", at positions 355 to 825 of the family's 1533-position model. The record is from RNAcentral.
UGGGGAAUCUUGGACAAUGGGCGCAAGCCUGAUCCAGCCAUGCCGCGUGGAUGAUGAAGGCCUUAGGGUUGUAAAAUCCUUUUCGCCGAGGACGAUAAUGACGGUACUCGGAGAAGAAGCUCCGGCUAACUUCGUGCCAGCAGCCGCGGUAAUACGAAGGGGGCUAGCGUUGUUCGGAAUCACUGGGCGUAAAGCGCACGUAGGCGGAUAGUUAAGUCAGGGGUGAAAUCCUGGGGCUCAACCCCAGAACUGCCUUUGAUACUGGCUGUCUCGAGGUCGAGAGAGGUUGGUGGAAUUCCUAGUGUAGAGGUGAAAUUCGUAGAUAUUAGGAAGAACACCAGUGGCGAAGGCGGCCAACUGGCUCGAUACUGACGCUGAGGUGCGAAAGCGUGGGGAGCAAACAGGAUUAGAUACCCUAGUAGUCCCUGAGCGGGCUGGCAAGGCGCAU